Molecule: long non-coding RNA, 9607 nt
Organism: Canis lupus familiaris (dog)
Lineage: Eukaryota; Metazoa; Chordata; Mammalia; Carnivora; Canidae
Exons: 2
Source: RefSeq, a predicted model, not a curated record
AUUUGCGGCCCGGGAUUUCCCGGGGCCUGGCCCCUGCGCGCUGCUGCGUGACCUGGGGCGGCGCCGCCGGCGGCCGUGGCUCCUCAGGUGCUAAGCGCACGGAGCCGCCUCGCGGGGCGGGUGCAGUCGCCGCGCGCGGCGUGUCGGUUACCCCGUGAAGGAGGGCGGGGGCCGCGCCUCGCGACGACCCCAGGACGGCUAACUCGGUUGCCAGCGCCGCUUCCUACGCCCCAGAGGAGCAGAGAUGGGGAGGGGGACCCCCCAGUGGCUAUGCUUCCAACAGAGAUCGCGGCUACCCUGGAAUAACUCACCGGAGGGAUGUGUAAAUGGCUUUCUAGACAGAGAGAGAGAGAGAGAGAGAGGCAGAGACACAGGAAGAGGGAGAAGCAGGCUCCAUGCCGGGAGCCCGACGCGGGACUCGAUCCCAGGACUCCAGGAUCGCGCCCUGGGCCAAAGGCAGGCGCUAAACCACUGAGCCACCCAGGGAUCCCCUAGUCCCUGGUUCAGAGAGUAAUUGCAUGAUCCUCUCUGGCCAGAGUAGCAGAGCUGAUUUCACUCCAGCACACAGACACUUCCUAUCAGCAUGGCAGUAUAACUGGCCAACACUGUGAGACUGUAAACUGUCCAGUGUAUUCCUUUCAUGAAACAUGUUGGUGAUGAAACCCCUGGAAAAUUCUGACCAGUGAGUGCUCCAGGCACCUCAGAUCUUCUGACAUACAGAGGAAGUUAGUUGGAAAAAAAGUGGCCAUUUGUAGGCUCUCGGACAGAGAAGUCAAGCAAGUAGGGUGAUCUUUGACAAGGGUUUGGUGGCAUAGGAGUUCCUAAGAUCACCUGGAGAGUAAAGAGGCUGGAGACAUUGGCAAUGUUAUAUUGUGCUACACCAAGCUUGAAGUGAUAAAGACCGCAUAAGUUUUCUUCUGCUGUAAUAAACAGCCACAGCAAAUUACCUUAGUGGCUGAAACAAUACGAAUGUAUUAUCUAAUAGUUCCUUAAGUCAAAAGUCUACCACGUGUCUCACUGAGCUAAAAUCAAGGUGUUGACAAGGCUGCCCUCCUUUCUAGAGUCUCUAGGAGAGAAUCCACAUCCUUGCCUUUUUCCAGCUUCUAGAGGCUGACCACAUUCCCUGGCCUCUAUCCUUCACCUUCAAAGGCAGCAACAGAAGGUUGAGUCCUUCUUAUGCUGCUGUUUCUCUGGUUCUCUGAUCACAGCUGGACAAGAUUCUUUGCUUUCAAGGACUAAUGUGAUUAGAUUGGACCUUCCCAGAUAAUCCAGAAUACUCUGUCUCAAGGGCAGUAGUCUUAAUCACAUCUGCAAAGUCCCUUUAGUCAUGAAAGGUACUAUAUCCUUGGGUUCUAGCAAUCAAGGUGUGCAUGUCUUUGUGGGCUGUUACUAUGUCUACCAUAAACACCUAGAACAGAUAUUUUAUUUUAUUUAUUUAUUUUUUUUAAAUUUUUAUUUAUUUAUGAUAGUCACACACACAGAGAGAGAGAGAGAGGCAGAGACACAGGCAGAGGGAGAAGCAGGCUCCAUGCACCGGGAGCCCGACGUGGGAUUCGAUCCCGGGUCUCCAGGAUCGCGCCCUGGGCCAAAGGCAGGCGCCAAACCGCUGCGCCACCCAGGGAUCCCAUAGAACAGAUAUUUUAAAUAAUCAGUAAGACUUAACCUUUAACUGGAUCAAUGGCCCAUAAAGUCAAUUUGGUAUGGAAAUGCACUAGAAGAGGUAGAAGAAGAUAACUGAGAUCAAGCAUGACUUAUUUGGGUAAUUUUACCCUUUUUUAACUGUUCUAAGACAUGUGAAGGUCUGUCUGCCUGCUGUCAGUAAUAGGAACAAUCUGGUAGUCACAAAAGCAUGAGUGUCUUAGGGAAGCUUCUAGAUCUGGGAUCAAAAAGCCUUAUAAAAAAGCAGGCCUUGUCUGUUUUUUUUUUUUUUUUUUAAGAUUUUUAUUUAUUUAUUCAUGAGAGACACAGAGAGAGAGAGAGGCAGAGGCACAGGCAGAGGGAGAAGCAGGCUCCCUGCAGGGAGCCCCAUGUGGGACUCUAUCUCAGGAUCCCGGGAUCAUGCCCAGAGCUAAAGGACACCCAGGUGUUCCAGGCCUGGUCUGUUCUUGAGUGUUCCCAAGGGUGCGUUUAUUUUCUCACCUUCCCUGGGAGCAUUGGUGCUUACCCAGUUGGCUCCUAGUUGCUGGGGACCAUCUAUCUCCUUCGUUCCUCUUCUCCAAUAUGGGUCCCAUCUCAGGGGGCUUCCUCGAUGCUUCUUGGUUGAAGCAGACAGGUCCAGGGAGCAGGUAUGGAGAAUGAAUGUGGAAAAAGAAGAUGAUAUUAGGGCCACACUGGACAAUUCUGGUGUGAGUAGAAACCCACUAGAUGGUUAGUUUGGGACAAGUGAAUGUGUGACAAUAAUUCUGAGCACAAAGUGAGCAUGAGAGCCUUACUAUACCAUUGGGGGUGGCUCCAGGAGAAAGGGUGCCUAGUUAAAACACUACCUCAGACAGUUUUGAUCUCUUUAUUUCUCAGGUCUUGUUGGUUGCACCUGAUUUCCUCCAUGACAUUAAACAACUGUUGUAUGAUUUCUCUGUUGGUAGCACACAGUUUUUCCAAAUUAAGGAAAAAAAAGACAGGAACAAAAAGGUUAUGCUUUUCAUCUAUGUCUGUGUAAACAAACCCAGUAAUUACCAUAACUCAAAUUGCUGCUGAAAUUCUCCAUAUUUUAAUGUGCACACUGUCGCUCUUGCUACUAAAUCUCUGCAUAUAUCCUGGGAAGUUAAUCCUGAAUUAGGAAACAGAAAAACUGAUUAAAUAAAAUUGGGCCAAGUCCAUGAUUUUUAUAUUCAUAAGAUUCAGAAUAUCUGUGAGGAAAUGUGAAAUGCAAAUUGAAUUAUCUUCCAGAGUAAUAACAAAAAAAAAAAAAAAGAGAGAGAGAGAGAGAGAGACAGAGAGAGAAACAAUGCUAAAAUAUGGGUAUCCAUGCAGAGAUGUAUGAAUUAGGCUUGCUAAGGUUUCAGUUGAUUGUGAUUCAAUAUUCUGCUCCUCUGAAACAACCAUUACUUACUAGGCUGCACAAACUCAAUUCUCUUAGACUAUAGUGGAUAUUAUCCAGGUUUCAUGUAGCAACAUUUUGUCAAAUUUUAUACUCUUAUCAAAAGAGAUUUUUUGCUGAACUUUGAAGAUAGCAUUAUUAGUCCUUAUAAUUGUUUCAAUCACUGUCUUUCUUGAUUGGCUUUAGCACAAAAGGGCAGUUGUAAACAUUCAAAGAAAAGUCAGGAUGGCAAAAGAGCAUUGUUUUUGUGCCCAUAGGCAUGGGGUAGGUGAAAUUGAGUAUUAAGGAAAUAAUGUAGAAAAUUCAAGACUCACCAUUUGUCUCUAAAAAAAGAAAAAAAGAAAAAAAAUUCAGAACGCCACAUUGUCUUUUUUUUUCUUUUUAAAGAUUUUAUUUAUUUAUUCAUGAGAGACACAGAGAGAGAGAGAGAGGCAGAGACACAGGCAGAGGGAGAAGCAGGCUCCACACAGGGAGCCCGACAUGGGACUCGAUCCCCUGUCUCCAGGAUCACAUCCCGGGUCCAAGGCAGUGUUAAACCACUAAACCACCAGGGCUGCCCUCCACAUUGUCUGUUAAUAAAUUGGACUAAUUGGAAUGUUUUUACUGUAUCUCUUUCUUUUUCCCCUCAGAGCCCCUCUCUGUCCCUCUGUGCUCUCUGCCUUGGGAGGCUGAGCUCUUUGGACCUGACCAGGGAGCUCUCUUGUCAUCUGGCUUGCCUUGGGGUCUAACAACAGAGAGCCCCAGCAGGAAGUCAGAGGGAGAGGGGAGGGUAAGUUCUGGGUCCCCUCUAGAUGGCUGUGUCCCUCCACUGAAGACCACUGCUUUUGCCAAGCUUGCCCUUUCUUCUAAGCUCUGGAAACUACUUUUUUCCCCUUUCCCUUCAGGCCUGGCACUGUUAUAAACUUCAGGGUACUACACUCUCCUUGGUAGUUUUGAUUUCCCACAUCCUGGCCCACAACUUUUAAUACCCUUUUAGUCAGGAGUCCCACACUGGCCCAGAAGCACAGGGGCUAGGCUCUAGCAUCCCUGAUGUGAGCACUUCAGGACUACCUUUCAUGUGGAACGGAAUAUGUCUACUGUCACAGGUUGGCUGACCUGUGUGUACGCGGCCAUUAGGAUCUGUCCCACCACCUUCCAACCACUACAGGGAAGUCCUGGCUUCCCCCUCGCCUCAAGGGUAUCCAUCCUUUCUCUGUGUCACAUGCCUCCCCAUGCCCUAAUUAAAAAAAACAAAACAAAACAAAAAAAACCCUUUAGGAAACUCUGCUCGAAUUAUCCUGAUUUGACUGUGCUCCAUUUUAUAUUACCACCCCUUACAGAAACCAACUCUGGUUUAUCCAGUCCUGUAUUUAAAUUCUCCUCCCAUUCCUGGACCACCAUCAUCUCUUACCAGGACUGCUAGGAGCUCUCCACUUCUACUCUUAAUUGCCUCAAAGUCUUCUAAAGGUUUCCUAUCACAAAUAUAAGAUCCAAAUCCCUCUCGUGGGCAAAGGCCCCAUAUGGUUAGGCUCUUAAUCAACUUCAUUUUGAGUCAUACUCAUCUUGUAGGUUCUAGAACACACCAACUUCUCUUUUGCCUGAGGACCUUUGUCCAUAUUAUUCACCCUGCCUGGACUGUUCUGCUCCCUGUUCUUUAUGUGGUUAGCAUGAUCAAAGACAAAAACUGAGUUAAGUAAGGAGAUGGAUUUUAUUCAGUCCAUUGCAGAAGGGAAAGUAACCCAGAUCUAAAGAUUAGAGUGUAUAUUAUGUUUGUUGUAACAAAUUACCACAGAAUUAGUGGCUUAAAAUGAUAGAAAGUUAUUCUCUUAUACUUCUGGAGGUCAGAAGUCCAAAAUGAGUCUAAGUGGCUAAAAGUGAGGUGUGGGCAGGGCUGUGCUGCCUCUGGAGAGUCUAGGGGAGAAUCUGUUUCCUUGCUUUUUCCCACAUCUAGGGCUGGAUUCCUUGGCUCGUGGUCCCUUCCUCUAUCUUCAUAACCAGUGUUGUAGCAUCUUCUGUGUGACUCUGAUUCUCUCUGCUUCUAUCACAUGGCCACCUUCUGUCUGCGGUCAAGUCUCCUGCAUCCCUCUCACAGGAACAUUUGUGAAUAUACAUAGGGUUGACCCAGAUAAUCCAGGAUAAUUGCCCCAUUUCGGCUCUUUAAUUACAUCUGCAAACACCUUUUUUCAUAUAUGAAAACAUUUAUAGGUUUUAGGAAUUAAGACCUGGAUAUCUUUUAGGGGUCAUUAUUAGCCCCUAUCCUGUAUUCUAGCACAGUGUUUUUGCCCUAGAUCUUUAUAGGAAGUUGGAACAGGAAAGAGGAAAUGUAUAUUUCUGUGCCUAGCUCGUUUUAGGGGGACAGUCAAUUCUAGUGUCAGCUAAUUAUUCAUGAGACAAAGAACAAAGAGAAUCUAUGUCUAAUUUUUGUCAGCAGAUGUAGGCAAAAGGUUUGCUCUUGUCACAGGUAAACAUGGUAGUCAUCUAUAAGUUUUAGGAGUUAUAAAAAAGAGUGGACAGCAAGUCUUAUCAAAGCCAUGUGGGGAAUGGUGGUUCAUCAGUGAGCCAUUUUCUGGAACACAAAAGGGUAGCAGACUUGGGGGGGGAAUGUUGGGGAGAUUUCUUAACCAUCACUGUCUUCCAGGAACAUGGAGUUCAGGUAGUCAGCACCUUCUUAUUCUUAAAUCUUUUUGCAUAGAUGCCCUCCCUGACCACCCUAAGUGCUGCUUUUCUAUUAUUCUCUCUUACAGUUUCCUCUUUAUUUCUUUCUGAUAUUUUCCAUAAUUCAUAAUUAUUUUGUGUAUUUGUUUGCUCAUCUGUCAAGACCAUAAACUUCUUGAGGACAAGGAGUGUGGUGUCUUACAUUUGAAGAGUUAGAGGAAUGUCUUUGUAUCUAUAGAACAUUUUUGUUGAAUUGACCAAAAAGGAAAUAUCAGAUGACCAAUAAACUCCAGGAGAAACUGUCUAGUAAUUGGUAGUUUAGAAAAAAGGAGAAGAAGAAGAAGAAGAAGAAGAAGAAGAAGAAGAAGAAGAAGAAGAAGAAGAAGAAGAAGAAGAAAAAGGAAGAAGAAGAGGAAGAAGAAGAAGAAAAAGAAGAAGAAGAAAAGAAGGAGGAGGAGGAGGAGGAGGAGAAUCACAGUGAGAUAAACAAAAGAGAGUCAGAAAUCCUGGGCAGAGACACACAGAGGUGUGUGUGAAAUGUGAGUCAUAGCUGGUGUGGGAUGGGGUCUGAGCAGGGUGGGGUGAGGCUCCACAGUGAGUCAGCGACCAGAGUCCAGAGGAGCUUGGGAUUUAUACUUCCUGUUCCCCUCUGUGCCUUGCAUUCAUUCAUUCAUUCUAUCAACAAAUAUUGAGUGUGUUUCGUGUGCAGGGCACUGAUCUAGACUUUGGGGACAAAGCAGGGAACAGAACAGACAAAAAUAAGUCUGACCCUAAGUAGAAAUGAUUGAAAUAAACAGUUCUUUCAAGGUUGUUGUUUUUUUCUUUUCUCUUUUUUCUUUUUUUUAGAUUUUAUUUAUUUAUUCAUGAGAGACACAGAGACAGAGAGAGGCAGAGGCAGAAGCAGGCUCCAUGCAGGUAGCCUGACAUGGGACUCAAUCCCAGGUCUCCAGGAUCCCAGCCUGGGCUGAAGGUGGCACUAAACCACUGGGCCACCCAGGCUGCCCCAAAAUAAACAGUUCUAAGCAUUAAGGAGAAAAGUAAAGCAGGAGAGUAAGAUGUGGAAUGUAGGCUUGUGAUUUAUAGAGUGGCCAUUUAAGGCCUCAGUGAAAAUAGACUCUCUGCCAGGCAUGGAGUUGAGGGCAGGGGGCCCUUAACCAAACUUAAAGGAAAUGAUAUCCUGGGGAAGGGUGUUCUAGGCAGGGGGCACAGCAAAUAGUCAGAUCCCGUAAGAUGGCCCAAGUGGUCUGAAGAGAGUGAUGGAGGGUCUCAGAGUUGUAGGAGAUGAGGUCAUGGAAGUGGGGGGCAAGGUGUAGUUGUAAGGCCUUGUAAGCUUCUGUAAGGACUGUGGCUUUUCCAUGGAGUGAAAUAGAAGCCACUGGAAGGUUUUGAUAAGAAGAGUGACAUACUCUAUUUCAUUUAACAGGAUCGCCUGGGCUGCUAUGCUGAAUGAGACAAAAAAGGAUCAAGGCCUGAUGAAGGAAGACCCUUUAGGAGGGUGAUCCAAGGGAGAAAUGAUAGUGGUAGCAUGGGUUGGGAAGGUUGCAGUGGAGAUGGUGAGAAGUGCUAGAUUCUGGAUAUAUUCUGAAACUGGGUCAGAUGUGAGGUGAGAGAGAGAAGUCAAGGAUGACCCCCCAAGAUUCAUGGCAAGGAUGAGGGUUGCCAUUUAUUGAGAUCUGAAAGAGUGCCAAAUGAGCAGCUUUGGGAAGGAAGGUCAAGUUUUGUACAGAUUAAGUCCAAAAUGCACAAGUAAUACUUUUUCAAAAGAGAAUUCAUUUUGUAAAUGUACCUGUGAGCAUUAGGAAAUCAUAGAACUGGUGAUCAUAUCUCUCCAGUGUGCUGAUUGCCUUAGUGGCUGGCUAGGGUAACACCUUUUGAGACCUGUUAUUGCUUUCUUCCUUGGACUUUCCACCUUCCCUGAGAAUGUUUCUACCUCUCCUUUGUUGGAAGAAGUACAACAGGAAAUUUAGAAAACCCAAAUAUAUAACUGCUUUGGAAAUAGCAAUUUUUUGCUGUUAAGCAAAGUCCAUCUGUGAAAUAACUCCUUUUCUUGACCUCUUGGACACCCAGAAGAACAGAUGAACUGUAUUCAGAAAUUCAGGAAAGCCACUAGCUUGGGGGAAAGAGCUGUGUCAGGACAGAGGCCCAUGCUUUGGCUUCCAGGGCUGUGUCGCUGAGUCCACAGCUUGGCAUAGCUUUCUCCAGUAAGUCAACUGCUUAGCUUUGGCCCCAAAUAGCCCUCUGCUGAGUGGUUGUCCAGGCUGAGAAAGCAAGCAAAAAAGCUUUUUGCUCCAGAUAUCAUUGCUCUCACCUUCUCUGAAGCAAUGACAUUCAUAACCUGGAUUUUGGCCUUAACCUCUGAGUUCCCCUUCCACAUUCCUCAUCUUGAACUACCCAACCUGAAAAUACACUCUUUAAGUCUUAUGCAAGAGUGCCAUGCAUUCUGCUUCAUCCGAGUCAUUCCGUGUAAAUUAAUUUUCCAAAUAACUGAAGCUUAGCUAUCCCUUGACAUCAACUAUAUGAAGGAGAAUUUUUCUGAGGAUGAACGAUGUCUAUUCUUACUAUCUUAACCAGAGUACAUAGAACAAAAUUGAACUUUCUGCCAUAAGGCUGUCUUCUCACAAUGACAAUGUCUGAGGCUCUCAUGAAGUAUGGAGAGUCUAUGUCUGUGUCUGCUACACUGGAUGACCUCAGAUUGCCAUGUUUUUGAGGUGUGUAUUUCUUCUUAAAAAGGUGUUUUUCAUGUUUUACUGCAUCAUUCCUGCUGACAUUUGUUGUGUAGUUGCUGCUCAUUUAACAUGCUGGAAAACACCGAAAAACCACAUAGGAUUGUGCAUAAAUCAUCUGUCUGAGAACCUUGAUUUAGUGCUAGAGAAUUUAGUGCACUGAGGUCAUUUUCAGCUUUAUUUUUAUGGUUCUAGAUUUCCUGAAAAAUAGGCAUGAUGGAUUAUGCAUAGAUAAUGAGCUUUUAUUUGGAUAUGACUUGAGCAUUUUUAACUUAUCUAAUUCCCAACUUUACUCUUAGUGGCUGAUACGUGAUCUUGGAAAUGUGAGAUAGCAUUUGUAAUAGAAUUCUAAUAUUGCUCUUCAUGGUCACCCUAUGUAAGCUCCUUCUCUUGAGUUUGGGCAAGACCUAGGAGUAUGAUGGGAUAGCACUCUAGUGAUUAGGUUACUUUAUAUGUUUGGCAAAGGUGAAGGGAUUUUGAAUAUGUAAUUAAAGUUUCUAAUCAGCCAGCUUUAAUUCAAUCAAAAGGGAGAUUGACCCAGGUGGGUCUGGCUUAUUCAAGUGAACCCUUUAAAAAAGGGUCUAGAGGGAAGCGGUCUUAUCCCCUUCCAGCUUUGAAGAAGCAAGCUGCCAUGAGUUUAUACAGUUGUGAGUAAAUUAAUUUAGCCAGCAAUCACGUGAAUUUGAAGGAUCUUGAACCUCAGAUGAGACCACAGCCCCAGCCAACACCUUGACUGUAGUGGGAAACCCUGAACAGAGGACUCCCUUAAGCUAUAUCUGUACUCUCCAUCCAUGGGAGCUGUCAGAUAAUAAAUGGGUAUUGUUUUAAGCAGAUAAAUUUGUGAUAAUUUAUUAUGAAGGAAUAAAAAAUUAAGACAGCAUCCUAUUUGGAUUUUGUGUUUAAAAAGGUAAAAGAGCAUAUUGUACUUGCCAUGCAUGGGUUCACACAAACGUAAUCACAUUAUUAUAAUGACCUCAUCCUACUAUGGAUAAUAUAAAUUCUCAGUUUUAGUCAGUCCAGGAAAUAAAACCCAAGAAUUUAUUAAGAUUAUCCUUGUCCUUUCCUGAGCUUCAGUAAAUAAAAUGUGCAGAGUUGUAGUGAGUAGUAAGUCCAAGCCAACAUUUCUCUAUCACUGUUUUUACCCAGGAGAGAGUCGUAAGCUUUAAAAAAAGAUCUCACUUAAAAAAAAAAAAAAAAAAAAAAAAAAAAAAAA